RNAcentral lists this ribosomal RNA (460 nucleotides) under uncultured bacterium. RNAcentral's name for it is "partial 16S ribosomal RNA". It matches the Rfam family "Bacterial small subunit ribosomal RNA", at positions 338 to 795 of the family's 1533-position model. The record is from RNAcentral.
CCUACGGGGUGCAGCAGUGAGGAAUAUUUGUCAAUGGGCGCGAGCCUGAACCAGCCAAGUAGCGUGAAGGAUGACUGCCCUACGGGUUGUAAACUUCUUUUAUAAAGGAAUAAAGUGAGGCACGUGUGCCUUGUUGUAUGUACUUUAUGAAUAAGGAUCGGCUAACUCCGUGCCAGCAGCCGCGGUAAUACGGAGGAUCCGAGCGUUAUCCGGAUUUAUUGGGUUUAAAGGGUUCGUAGAUGGGUUUUUAAGUGAGUUGUGAAAGGUUGUGGCUCAACCUUAGAAUUGCAAUUGAUACUGGCAGCCUUGAGUACAGUUGAGGUAGGCGGAAUUCGUUGUGUAGCGGUGACAUGCUUAGAUAUCACGAAGAACUCCGAUUGCGAAGGCAGCUUACUAGACUGCAACUGACGUUGAUGCUCGAAAGUGUGGGUAUCAAACAGGAUUAGAUACCCUGGUAGUC